RNAcentral lists this ribosomal RNA (496 nucleotides) under uncultured bacterium. RNAcentral describes it as "partial 16S ribosomal RNA". It matches the Rfam family "Bacterial small subunit ribosomal RNA", at positions 28 to 506 of the family's 1533-position model. The record is from RNAcentral.
GAUGAACGCUGGCGGCGUGCCUAAUACAUGCAAGUCGAGCGAACAGACGAGGAGCUUGCUCCUCUGACGUUAGCGGCGGACGGGUGAGUAACACGUGGAUAACCUACCUAUAAGACUGGGAUAACUUCGGGAAACCGGAGCUAAUACCGGAUAAUAUAUUGAACCGCAUGGUUCAAUAGUGAAAGACGGUUUUGCUGUCACUUAUAGAUGGAUCCGCGCCGCAUUAGCUAGUUGGUAAGGUAACGGCUUACCAAGGCAACGAUGCGUAGCCGACCUGAGAGGGUGACGCGCCCCCCGGGAACUGAGCACCGGCCCAGACCCCAACGGGAGGCAGGAGGGGGAAAUCUUCCGCAAUGGGGAAAAGCCUGACGGGGCAACGCCGGGGGAGUGAAGAAGGUCUUCGGAUUGUAAAACUCUGUUAUUAGGGAAGAACAAAUGUGUAAGUAACUAUGCACGUCUGGACGGUACCUAAUCAGAAAGCCACGGCUAACUACGG